UUGUUGUUCCUGUUUGUGUUUGAUUUGCGAUCGAGGAGUUAGGACCAAGGGGUCGCGUAAAUUUGUCCACGAAAAGAGGCAUCCUCCUAUACCGUGCUUUGUGUGGUGUUGGCCUUCUGAGAUUUCUUUCGUGUCUAUUUGAGGAUGUUCCGUAUAGCUAUACGAGCUCUGUUACGAGUUUUCCUUACAUGCCGUAUUUUACGAGUAAAACACAGCGGGCUUAA
Molecule: long non-coding RNA, 224 nt
Filed under: Brassica napus (rape)
Lineage: Eukaryota; Viridiplantae; Streptophyta; Magnoliopsida; Brassicales; Brassicaceae
Description: long non-coding RNA (BNAP_LNC026459)
Source: RNAcentral